Tigriopus californicus is the source of this 799-nucleotide long non-coding RNA. RefSeq lists it as uncharacterized. The record is from RefSeq and is a predicted model, not a curated record. NCBI's taxonomy places the organism in Eukaryota, Metazoa, Arthropoda, Copepoda, Harpacticoida, Harpacticidae. The transcript has 2 exons.
GCAAAACAUAUUGAUCUUUCGCUCCUAUUGCAGUUUCAUCAAGUCAUAUUUUAUGGGGUUCUCGAACAGUCUAAAUUCUAAUGUUUUAACCUCUUGCUCCCGAUAAUAAACUAAAUACUACCCUUUUGCAAUUGAAAACGUCAAUCAAGCUUGCGGUAAAGGCAUCACGUUUCUAGAAAAAUCGGCCAACUUAUGAACGUUUUCGACUAUGGAAAGCACGCGAUGGCCAAAAUCAUUACGUCCCAACUACGACUCAAUAAAAGUAAUUUAACGGGAAGUUAACAAAGUUAGAGGACAUUCCAUUUGCCUAAAUGGCGUAAAUGAAAUACAAUUAAAGAAAGACCAAGUCUUGGGGGUUCUUUCUCCUUUGGGUUUCCGUAGCUUCUAACAGAGGGUUCAUAAUCUCGUUUCUGCCCGUCUCUAGAAUUUAGGAGUGCCUUGCUGAUGAUAUGGGGCCUGGUCCCUUCUCCCGUGGCAUGAAUGAUCGAGGGCAUUGCUGACAAAGGCUUUACCAAUAAGCAUUUUGAACAAAAAGCCAAUUCCGAGCAUAUAAAAGGACCACUCUAGAGCAAGCAGUUUAACAAUCAACGAUUGCACAUUCAGUGAUACACAACUCGUAAAAAAAACUAAGAAACACUCCAUUCAACAUGCCUCAAGGUUGUUGCGACAAAUGUCAGUGCGGAAAGCCCGACUGCUGCCAAAAAGACUGCAAUUGUAAGACUUGCGAUUGCAAAUGCUGUCCCAUGAAGUAAUGACAAUCGAAUGUCUUCCAAAAAUGCAAUAAAGUAUUAACAUCUCA